Molecule: ribosomal RNA, 497 nt
Filed under: uncultured bacterium
Lineage: Bacteria
Description: partial 16S ribosomal RNA
Rfam family: Bacterial small subunit ribosomal RNA
Source: RNAcentral
GAUGAACGCUGGCGGCGUGCCUAAUACAUGCCAGUCGAGCGAACAGACGAGGAGCUUGCUCCUCUGACGUUAGCGGCGGACGGGUGAGUAACACGUGGAUAACCUACCUAUAAGACUGGGAUAACUUCGGGAAACCGGAGCUAAUACCGGAUAAUAUAUUGAACCGCAUGGUUCAAUAGUGAAAGACGGUUUUGCUGUCACUUAUAGAUGGAUCCGCGCCGCAUUAGCUAGUUGGUAAGGUAACGGCUUACCAAGGCGACGAUGCGUAGCCGACCUGAGAGGGUGAUCGGCCACACUGGAACUGAGACACGGUCCAGACUCCUACGGGAGGCAGCAGUAGGGAAUCUUCCGCUAUGGGCGAAAGCCUGACGGAGCAACGCCGCGUGAGUGAUGAAGGUCUUCGGAUCGUAAAACUCUGUUAUUAGGGAAGAACAAAUGUGUAAGUAACUAUGCACGUCUUGACGGUACCUAAUCAGAAAGCCACGGCUAACUACGUG